GAUAAAGUGGCUCAGAGGGUAAAGCGUCUGCCUGCAAUGCAGAAGACCUGGGUUCGAUCUCUGGGUCA
This 68-nucleotide transfer RNA is filed under the name Bos taurus (domestic cattle). It matches the Rfam family "tRNA". Rfam says of the family: Transfer RNA (tRNA) molecules are approximately 80 nucleotides in length. Their secondary structure includes four short double-helical elements and three loops (D, anti-codon, and T loops). The record is from Rfam by way of RNAcentral. RNAcentral also lists the same sequence under 4 other names. Lineage: Eukaryota; Metazoa; Chordata; Mammalia; Artiodactyla; Bovidae.